UCAUUCUCGAUGAGCGCGUUGUAGAUAAUCUUCAGAUUGUAAUUCCUCUGCGCGUCCAGUGUCCUAUUCAGCACCACCACUAAGACCUGGGUUUGCGGGUAGAGGAAAAAACCGGCCACAGGGACAGCCCCAAACGCCCUGUCCUCAGCCAGCUGCACUUUCUCCACCGCCACUCGGGAAGCGUGCAGCACUACGUAGCGGGUGGCGUUCCGGCACGCGAUCUCCACGUUGACCUCCCCGGAGAAGGUGAAGUUCUCCAUGAAGGCGGUGAGCAUCAGAUUGUAGUGCAGCGGCUUCAGGUGGCCCGACAGGCGCAGCUGCGUCCACGGCUGCCACGGCUCCCGCUCCUCCUCCGACGGCUGCUGGGCCGACGGGGUCCCCGGACUGGCCACCCCACUCGCCUCAGGCUGCAAGGAGUCCCCGCCCGCGUGGUGGUUGCGCCGGGCCGAUCCGGGGAGGCUCCCGUUGGCGCCGCGCUCCGGAAAGCCUGCGGGGCCACCUUCGGCGCCUGGCGUGGCACUCACCCCGCACUCGUCGAAGCGCAGGCUGAGCAGCACGGCAAGCAUGGUGACCGCGAGCAGUGCCACGAGGGACACGGCGAAGGCUAGCACAAGCCGCUUGUGUACCGCGAUGUGGCGCUCCGUGGUGCGGGGUCGCACUCCCACUGAGUCUGCCCACGGGUCGGAGAGCCCCCUGCCGCCAGCCCGAAGCGCGGCGUCGUCUUCCCCCAUUCUGGCCGCGAAGGCGGCGGCGUUCAGUCCUCUGGGUGGAAUGUGCUCUCAGCGGCAGUGACGGCUGCCACAGCACUGGAGGCACCCGAGCCAUACACCCUGCAGCUGGAGAGGAAAGGAUGGCCGAGGUGGGAGAGACUAGAGUGAACCAGCAGGAGGAAGUCCUAGGGCCGCGAAGCUACGGCGGAGAUCUGUCCUGGAAAAGCCUUCUCCACCCUGGGCACUUUAAGCGGCGGUGGCGGCAAACAGCAGGAGGUUGCAGACCCGACAGCGAGCCUGCCUCAUUCCAGUCUUGCUCUGCCCUCCGGAGAUGACAAGUGAGAAAGAAGUGUCCGGCCGGGCCAUCCCCUUCAGAGAAGCAACCACUUCACAAGAAGAUUCUGAAGUUGGCCAUUUUGAAUCCCAGAACAGUUUCUCAUAGAUUAGAAAUAUUGGAAUCUGCACAGAAAUCGAUAUUCAUUUACAAGAUCAUCAAACUUAUCUUGCAUAACAUAAGUGGCAAGCUCUGACUUGUGAUUUUUUCAUAAAAAAAAUGUUUUUUAACUCAGUAUCAUCAUUUCUACAAGUGUCCCAUGAUAAUUGAUUCUAGGUGAUUUGAAACACUGUUUAGUCCUGUUUUAGAAAAAGCUCCUGUAUCUGAUUUAGUCUCAUAUGCAGCUUACUUCUAACAUCAGAUUGAAUUUGCAUUGAGUUACCUUACUCAGUUUGGUUUUUAAUUAUGUUGCACUUACAAGGGAAUAAGGAAAAGUCAGUAUAGUGUGUUGAAAUAUCUUUUUUAAUUGAGACACACAGGAAAUGUUACAGGUUCCCAAACCUUCUUCAUGUAUUAGACAUGUUAUAAUAAUCUUUUGAAUAGCCAAGUGAAAAGGAAUGGUUUCACCUGAACAUGUUAGAAUUUAUUGCUACAUUUUUGUGUGUUGUGGUGGAGAAAUAAAUUUUUAAAUUGUAUUUAUGGAGUCAUUUCAGAACAAGUAGAAAUCAUAUGUAAUCUGGUCACUUUGAAUGUGUAAGUGUUUGCUCUGAACUCCUCCUGCCCUAUUAAGAGUUGAAGGUUGUACUAUAUGUUACUCAAAAAGUAAUUUUCCCCGGAUAUGCAAUAAGGCCUCAGAUUUGACCUAUAACCUGAAUGUCAUAAGCUAUCCAUUAUCUAUGCUGGAAGCACACCACCAACAACAAAAAAAUUUUAAGUAUUUUUAUAGGCUUGCUAAAAUCCGAUUAUAGAACCAAGGCAGUCAAAUACCAUGAGUAAGACUGCAGAAACCCUAGAAUUUAACUCCCUAGUUAUUCUUAAUGAGCGAAUACUAUGCUUUGUGUCUAAAAGCAAUGUAUUACACUUUCCAAUUCAGAAAAUGCAUUUUAAUUGUUAUACCCAUUGAUACAUCAAUCUGUCCAUGACAUUCUGACAUAUAUAUACAGUUUCCUAUGGAUUUGGUAUAGGAGCAAAUUAAAAGAUACACUAGAAUGGUAACAUUUAAUCUAUAAUCCUCCAUUUAACCUUUAUGUGGCUGUCACUGAACAAGUCCUGUUUUUAGAGUUGAACCAAAAAACAAAAACAAAAACAAAAAAAACAUGCACACACAGUAGAGAAAGUGUGUUUUUUAACCUGGAGACCGUGAAAAAGUUUUGACCAUUCCCCCACCCCCAUGCUUCAACUUUAGCUUUGAUAGUGAGAGUAUGUCUUCCUUCAGUUUAAGUUGAACAUACUUCUGCAUAAGACCCUCCAGAAAACCUCUUGAACACAUACAGUUUUGGGGGCAAUGGGGACUGAACUAUGUGCAAAUACGUGAUACCUCAGCACACAAUUCCUGGGAUAAAUUUUAUCCUCUUCUCAUUUUUAUUCUUGUUAACUACAUGGGGUUUUUUAAACAAGUUACCAGAAGCAAAACACAUUUUACCUUUACUCUGAUACAUGUUUCAAAUUAAGCAGAUCCCAAUUAAUUGGGUUACAUUAUAUAACAAUAGCCUUUUUAAUAUAAUAUGGUUUUUAUGAUCUCUCUUUGAUUUUUCUUAAAAUGAGACCGCACUAAAGAUUUUCUUGAUAUUUCUGAGAAUUUCAUUUUCAGUUUCAAGAAAUUAUUUAUUCAUUUAAUCUUUCAAUGUGGAAAAGAAUACUGAUUCAUUUUUAGAAGUGCUAACAUUCAACUAGGUAAACUUCAUAUGUGAUGGCUAUUAAUGUUCUCUUUCAUCUUCUAGACAGAAAAUCAAAGCUAUUUAAAGUAAAGGAUUUGUUUCAAAUCAAUGUACGUCUACAAGUUAACAUUAAUGUUUACAAACACUUUCUGUGAUCAUUGUGUCUUAUUUGGCUGUAUAUAUGUCUUUAUAUCUAUCUGUAAAGAUGUAGUUGCAAGUAGAUGAGAGACGAAUGUUCAUGUUUCUAUAUAGUCUGAAUAAAAGUGUUAUCACUAUGCUAACCUGCAGUGUUAUAAAAUGCACCAGUAGCUCUUUGUGCCACUCCUUCAUUUUCAGUGGUUACCAAGAUAGUCAAAUUAAACUGCUGAUGUGAGAAUCAUCCAAAUAUUUAAUUCUAACACUAGGCUUAUAGACUUUUUCUAUUUCUAUGAGAUUUACCUAUAGUAGAUUUCUGUUUAAUGUUCAAUGUUCUAUAGCAGUUUCCUUUUAAAUGUUCAGAGCAGGAGCUAUACCCUCUAGGAUGUGCAAAUAAUCAAGUCUUAGCAACAUUAUAAAAUAUAAUCCACAUUAUGAAUCAAACAGAAUGAGCCUUCAGAUCUGAUUGCCUAAGGCUCAAAAUGUUAAUGCUCCUGAAACACCUUGUACAUAUUAGCUAGUUGAAAUUGCAUUAAAACAAGAGAACGAAUUGUAGUCUUGACCUCAGUCUCACUUCACCAGUCUUUGCCUGCUACUGCCAGCCUGAGAGGGGAGCUUCUGCUCUGUAGAUGGAUGGACAGCUGCUGAUCUUCACCUCCUGUCUGUUCCCACAAUUCUAAAAGAAUUAGGCCUGAGGAACUUUAUCUUCUGGUGUUCUAUUGUGAACUGACUUUAUUAAAUUUUUUCCAAAGUUCAAUGUUCUUCAGUUCUUUCUUGGGAGUGCAAAUUGAAGAGACACAGAGUCAGUUCCAAAUGAACUGAAAUUGUUUUGUAAAAAAUUAAUUCAAACAAUAAUGCCAUGGAAGAGCACUUUGAAUUUUUCAAUUCCCAGGCUAUUGAUUCUAAAAAAGAAACAAUUCUAAAUUAUCCACAUGCUCUCAUUUAUUAGUCUAGAGCUCUUGCCCAAAGAAUUAUUUGCCAAGGUAAUAUAUAGAACAUCAGGAUGAUUUACUUGCUUUUCUAAUACCGUUUUGCCCACAAACUCUAUGGAACUGAAAGCAUGUCAGCAGCAAAAGAAGGUCCACUAGCAGCUAUAAAAGAGAGCUCACUAAUGAACAAUAAAUAUCUAAAAGUAAAGGGAAAGGAGCUGAAUUCCAUUUUCAAAAGCCAAACUUCUGCAGUAGGUAAAUAUCACAGAUAGCAUUGCUUAUUAUUUAUAAUCACCAAGAGUAAUUUAUCAUUUAUUUAAAUCCUCAAAUAUGUCGCUGCCAGCCACAUUUCCACCUGCAGAAAAGUUUGUUGUGACUGCCUGGUUUUGUAAAGUCCAGACAACUUUACACUAAACUUAAUAACGUUCAUUUACUCAAAAGCUGUUCUAAAAUUGUGUAGUUGAUGAACACUAAAUGAAAGUUAGUGCUUUAACUGAAAGAUAAUUUUCUAUACCCUUUGGAGUCCAGUCCAGUACCAUCAAGAUCUGGGAAAAUACAACUAGUAAGCACUUUGACUUUUUCUCAGAAAAUCAUUAUCUACUUCCUUCAUACUUACUUAACAUCUCAAGAAGAGGAAAGAAAGGUGGGGGAGGGGAAAUAUCUAAAAUUUUAAUCUAAAUCUUUCUUAAACUGUACCUUUCAAAUACAUAAAAUACUGUGUGAAAGGGCUGUAAAAAGUAGUAUCUAGUAAUGACUUCCAACUCUAUAACUUGGUAUAAGCCUUAUGGAAAGUAAUUUACCAACGGCUGUCAAAAUUCACAAAUCUAAAGACUGUAGCAAGACUCUUGAGAUACCUUGUAACUAUUGGCAUGAUUCUCUUCUACUAGAAUGAAAGUUUCUUAGAGGGCAGGAAACACGUAUGUUCAUUUCUGUAUCCACAGAGCAAGCAAAGAUUCUGAGACAUACUGUUCUUCAUAUGCAUAUUUCGAAUGAAUGAAGGCUCCAUUUGGUCGUAUUUAUCAUCAGCUUCUUGGCCCUUACUACUCCCUUCUCUCAUUUAAAGCUUGUGUCCUCUUCCUUGCCCAGCACUCUUUUGGUUGCAUACCUGAUAAGGGUGCUCUUCAGCUUGGCCUCCUUUGACUUUAUUCCUCCCCUGUUCUACUUUUAGAGUCUCAAUAAACUCUUAUUUCUUAUAGUGGAAAAAUGCAUUUAUAAAUCAAGACUGUGCAUUGAAUUUGCUCAUUGCUGCUCAGGUGUUGUUGCUCCCAUGUCCAGUUGCUCCCAGUGAGCCACUCUAUUGGAGUUGAUCCCACAGCCAAGACCCUACUCUUCCCUAGCUCUAGCCUAGAAACUUGUCACCAGAGCAUUAAUCUACAUUUUAGAGAGGAUUUUCUACCAAAAAGAACUGCAUCAUUUUUCCUGAAUAAAUAAUGUAUUCUAGAAUCAGUGUGUGAUCCUCUCAGCUUCCUUGUUGGAAACCAAAUGAUGGUUCUCCUGGAGAAAUAAUUCAACUAAAUGUUGAAACAAUUUAGGCUGUACGAUAGAGUCAUACUUGACAGAAGAGUUAGAUUUUGAAAUCAGCAUAUAAGGUAAGAAGUACCUAAUGUCAAAUUUGCACUUGAAAAAAAAAUUCCUAAACUGUGUACACUUCGCAUUAAACCAUGAUUUUGCAGAUCCAUUCCUAUACAGCAACAUUUAUAUAUUGAUGUGCAUAGAAAGUAUGUGCCAUCUUACAAUAUUUUCAGUAUUUUAAUUAAGUUGAAUUUGAAUAAAUAAAAUACUCACAUGCUAUAACUCGGCUGUUUUAAGAACACUGCUACCAAUUCACUACUAUGUUUACGUGAUGCCUAAAUAGGCAGCCAAUGCAGAAAGGUCAGUUAGAAAAUGAUGCCAAUGCUUGCUUUUCUUUCUUUCCAUUGAAAGGGUGCCGGUGAGUGUCAGGGUCCAUACAAACUGGGAGCUGGAGUGGGCAUGAAGGCAGUUUGACGGGAGUCAGGGUCUAUGGAGGGAGGGCUGCUGAGCAGGGCAGAGACCUGGUAGAAUCAGAUGCUUGGCUCCUCACAGGGAGUCCACUUUCCUAAUGCUGGAGAAGGUACAAACAUGGAAAGAGGAAAAGUUGAGGUGAAUGAUGUGGUAUUAGAUUGCAGUUGGAAGAGUGGAUAUAUAAGUAUAUAUGACAUGUAAAUAAACAUGGAUUUAAGGGUCUGUCUGUAUGUAUUCAUUGAAGGAACCUGGGAGCAACAAUGCCUGAGCAGCACUGAGCAAAUUUAACGCCUGGUCUUGAUUUCUAAAUGCAUCUUUCCACUGUAAGAAACAAGAGUUUAUUGAGACUCUAAAAGUAGAACAAGGGAAGAAUAAGGAGCUUUGAACAUCUUGGGUCAGAAGUUACCAAGAAUAACUGUAGAAUGUGCUGGGAAUGCAAUGUCCUGAGAUAAGGAGGAACUGCCUGAAACAGCCUGGACCUUAUUCCUGUACUUCCUAGGGAAUGUAACAUCUCAAGUUAAAGAGGAACUGCCUGGGACAGCCCUGGGAUUGUUCCUCUCUCCUGGGAAGGAAGAUCACCUCCAAAGCUUAUCCAUUGAGUCACACUACCCCUGUGGUGGCAGGCUGCCUCUCCAGGUUCCUCAGCUGUGGUGCAACAGAAGCAAGCACAAUCAAGACUCCAUCUGUUCAAGGCAGUUUUGUCAAACCUUGGGGAACCUAUUCACAAUGGAUCACAGGCUUCUUUUGUUUCUUGCUGCUUAUCUUGGGAAGCAAAAAUCAGCUGAGUGAAGAUGAAGAAGAAGGUGUCAAAGGUUUGAAGAGAAAAAAUGAAAAGGAUAUACUAAUCCAAGGGGAUGCGUAAGUAGAACAUAGAUAAUGAAAAUGCUGGCCCUUAGGAUUGUUGGGCAUAAAUGCUCAUAUGAUAUUGGUGGUCACAAAUUUGAACUUUCUCUAAAGCCAAUUUUUGCAUGUGUGUGCAGGCCUGGAGUAGUUGGAGAGGUGGAUUUAAUAGGAUUGAGGAUCAAGCAACUACAACCAGAGAAGAGUGGGACAAGGGAGAUAAAGGAUAUUGGCAGGGGAACAAUUAUAAACAUGGACCAUGAUCAAAACUGAAUUUGAAGGAAAAUAGGGAUAAGAGGGGUGGAAGGUAAAAAAUAGUGGAAAUGAGAUAGAAUUAAAAGAUUGUAGGUCCCUGUAAAGUUGAAGAAGUAUUAUUAUGCAGUACUCGUUAUUGAAAUGAGGUCACUAUGCUUAAGGCACAGUGAAUCCUAGAAAACAGUGGCUUUUGUUUCUCAUUAGGCAAUACAUUCCUCUUUGCUCCAGAAUGCAACAUACAUGCAUCCUUUUCUGUACUAUUAUUUAUUAGGAAUUCAUACUUAAUUCCACUGACUGCCACUCAAUUUUAAUGUACAGUAGGGAAUUCCUGUACUAUAUAUUAUGAAUCCAUUCCUUUGAAUUUCAUUUAUAAUACUUCAUGACUGACACCUGGCUUUCCACCAAGACUCAAUUUUCAUAGCAAACCUCAUCAUCAUAAGCCCCGAAAUUAAUAGGAUGAGGAGGAAGAAUUGGCAGGCUAAAGAAGAUGAUUAUAUCAAUUAAUGCAGAGAAAGCACUUGAUAAAAUCCAAUAUUCGUUUGUAAUUAAAAACUCUCAACAAGUUAGGAAUAGAUAGGAAUUACUUCAACUUAAUGAAGAGUAUCUUUAAAAACCUUGAGUAUUUUCAUCAAUUAUAACAAAUGUACCACUCUGGUGGUGAAUGUUGAUAAGGAGGGAAGCUAUACAUGUGUGGGGAAAGGAGAUAUGUGAGCAAUUUCUGUACCUUCUACUCAAUUUUCUGUGAGCCUAAACUUGCUGUAAAAAAUAAAGUUCAUUUUU
Long non-coding RNA from Cercocebus atys (sooty mangabey), 7783 nucleotides. RefSeq lists it as uncharacterized. The transcript has 5 exons. The record is from RefSeq and is a predicted model, not a curated record. NCBI's taxonomy places the organism in Eukaryota, Metazoa, Chordata, Mammalia, Primates, Cercopithecidae.